RNAcentral lists this ribosomal RNA (253 nucleotides) under uncultured bacterium. RNAcentral's name for it is "partial 16S ribosomal RNA". It matches the Rfam family "Bacterial small subunit ribosomal RNA", at positions 524 to 776 of the family's 1533-position model. The record is from RNAcentral.
UACAGAGGUCUCAAGCGUUGUUCGUAUUCAUUGGGCGUAAAGGGUGCGUAGGCGGCGCGGUAAGUCGGGUGUGAAAUCUCGGAGCUUAACUCCGAAACUGCAUUCGAUACUGCCGUGCUUGAGGACUGGAGAGGAGACUGGAAUUUACGGUGUAGCGGUGAAAUGCGUAGAUAUCGUAAGGAAGACCAGUGGCGAAGGCGGGUCUCUGGACAGUUCCUGACGCUGAGGCACGAAGGUCAGGGGAGCAAACGGG